RNAcentral lists this ribosomal RNA (868 nucleotides) under uncultured archaeon. RNAcentral describes it as "bacterial SSU rRNA". It matches the Rfam family "Archaeal small subunit ribosomal RNA", at positions 1 to 878 of the family's 1478-position model. The record is from RNAcentral.
CUCCGGUUGAUCCCGCCGGACCCGACUGCUAUCAGAGUGGGACUAAGCCAUGCGAGUCAACGCAGCAAUGCGUGGCAUACGGCUCAGUAACACGUAGUCAACAUGCCCAGGGGACGUGGAUAACCUCGGGAAACUGAGGAUAAACCGCGAUAGGCCAAGAUUUCUGGAAUGGAUAAUGGCUGAAAUCUAUAUGGCCCCUGGAUUGGACUGCGGCCGAUCAGGCUGUUGGUGAGGUAAUGGCCCACCAAACCUGUAACCGGUACGGGCUCUGAGAGGAGGAGCCCGGAGAUGGGCACUGAGACAAGGGCCCAGGCCCUAUGGGGCGCAGCAGGCGCGAAACCUCUGCAAUAGGCGAAAGCUUGACAGGGUUACUCUGAGUGAUGUCCGUUAAGGGCAUCUUUUGGCACUUCUAAAAAUAGUGUAGAAUAAGGGGUGGGCAAGUCUGGUGUCAGCCGCCGCGGUAAUACCAGCACCCCGAGUGGUCGGGACGAUUAUUGGGCCUAAAGCAUCCGUAGCCGGUUCUGCAAGUCCCCCGUUAAAUCCAGCUGCUCAACAGAUGGGCCGCGGAGGAUACUACAGAGCUAGGAGGCAGGAGAGGCAAGCGGUACUCAGUGGGUAGGGGUAAAAUUCGUUGAUCCAUUGAAGACCACCAGUGGCGAAGGCGGCUUGCCAGAAUGCGCUCGACGGUGAGGGAUGAAAGCUGGGGGAGCAAACCGGACUAGAUACCCGGGUAGUCCCAGCUGUAAACGAUGCAGACUCGGUGAUGAGUUGGCUUAUUGCUAACUCAGUGCCGCAGGGAAGCCGUUAAGUUUGCCGCCUGGGGAGUACGGUCGCAAGACUGAAACUUAAAGGAUUUGGCGGGGGAGCA